GUGCACACUUCGGCAGCACAUAUACUAAAAUUGGAACGAUACAGAAAAGAUGAGUAUGGCCCCUGUGCAAAGAUGACAUGCAAGUUCCUGAAGCGUUCCGUAUUUUU
This is a small nuclear RNA of Cynocephalus volans (Philippine flying lemur), 107 nucleotides long. The record is from RefSeq and is a predicted model, not a curated record. NCBI's taxonomy places the organism in Eukaryota, Metazoa, Chordata, Mammalia, Dermoptera, Cynocephalidae.